Molecule: long non-coding RNA, 4465 nt
Organism: Entelurus aequoreus (snake pipefish)
Lineage: Eukaryota; Metazoa; Chordata; Actinopteri; Syngnathiformes; Syngnathidae
Exons: 4
Source: RefSeq, a predicted model, not a curated record
GUGCAAUGCCAGUGCGCACUGGGCAUCAAAAGCGCAGAUAGAGGCAAAACAAUGUCACAAAAAAGGACAUAUCCUUCAGGUGCAGAAAAAAGGAAGAAGAAGAAAGUGGAAGAGGAGAAAAAAUGCCAUGAUAAAGGAGCAUUGUUAAAAUACUUUGGAGGCACAGAAUCAGCCCAGAGCCAGUCCACAUCCUCAGGCUCAACUGUGAGUGAUUAAUUAGGUCCAUCUCCAUCCUCUACAGUGCUCUCUCACACACCUCCAUCCUCUGUGCCCACUGUCCCCUCCAUGUCUGAAACCACAGCUGAUUUAUCUACAACUUCCACCACAACGUCCCCUUCACACCACGGACCAUCAUCAGCUCCGCCAGUUGACCCAGCUGAGUGGCCUUCUUUCCUCUCAGAUUCAGACAGGACUGAGCAGGUGAUCAGAGGACCACUGUCUAUUAAGGAGAACUUUUCAUUCCCCAAACGGCAUGAUGGCCGAAGUUUUCAUUAUCAUUAUACCUACAGACAGCUAGUCAAUGGGGAAAAAGUCAAGCGUAGCUGGCUGACUUAUUCAAGAAGUAAAGAUGCAGUCUAUUGCUUUUGCUGCAAAUUAUUUUCCAAAAAGUCCUUAAAACUGGCAGCCGAGGGACAGCGGGAUUGGGUCAACAUACAACAAACAACACUGCCAGAGCCGCAAUGAGUUUAUAGUAGGUGUGUGAAUGAUCAACAAUCAAUAUUAUUGGCAGAUAUAGAGGGCCCCAAAAUCAAAUUUUGCUUAGGGCCCCAUGGAGGCUUGGGCCGGCACUGCUUUUAUAGAAAGUACUGGAGAAGUAUAGAUGCAAAUAGGGAUGUCCGAUAAUGGCUUUUUUGUCAAUAUCCGAUAUUCCGAUAUUGUCCAACUCUUAAUUACCGAUACCGAUAUCAACCGAUACCGAUAUAUACAGUCGUGGAAUUAACACAUUGUUAUGCCUAAUUUGGACAACCAGGUAUGGUGAAGAUAAGGUCCUUUUUAAAAAAAUAAAAAAAUAAGAUAAAUUAAAAACAUUUUCUUGAAUAAAAAAGAAAGUAAAACAAUAUAAAAACAGUUAAAUAGAAACGAGUAAUGAAUGAAAAUGAGUAAAAUGAAGUGUUAAAGGUUAGUACUAUUAGUGGAGCAGCAGCACGCACAAUCAUGUGUGCUUACGGACUGUAUUCCUUGCAGACUGUAUUGAUAUAUAUUGAUAUAUAAUGUAGGAACCAGAAUAUUAAUAACAGAAAGAAACAACCCUUUUGUGUGAAUGAGUGUAAAUGGGGGAGGGAGUUUUUUUUGGGUUAGUGCACUAAUUGUAAGUGUAUCUUGUGUUUUUUAUGUUGAUUUAAUAAAAUAAAAAAUAAAAAAACGAUACCGAUAAUAAAAAAAACGAUACUAAUAAUUUCCGAUAUUACAUUUUAAAGCAUUUAUCGACAUCUCUAGUUGCAAAUAUUUCUUAUACAAAUAAAUGUAAGAACACAAAUACUGUAGUUUUAUCAAAUAAAAAAAUACAUGUAAUUAAGAGCAAAAUGUAAAACAAAACCAUAAUUGAAAGUUUAAACAAUAAGUCAUUGCCUCAUCAACUAUGAGCCUCACUUAAAUCCUAAUCACUUAAAUACAAUAAAUAUAUAAAUACAGUAGAUAGAUGUAUUGAAACGUAUGUGUUUUUUCGUCUAUACGUUUGGACGCAUUUUUGAGGCCCUUAACAAAAGUCGACAUAUUUUGCAGGCAAACAUUUUUAGAUUCUGGGGUUCCCGAAAAUUACAUUUCAAAUUUGGAUUUUCAACGCCACCUUUAAAAUGAGAAAAAAAACAGCACCUGCAACCAGUUUCACAUAUCGACACGGAAAAUGCAGGAUACGUCUAUCAUGACGGGGCGCACAUAAAAGUCUAAAGAACCCAUGCCUGAAAACGAACAGGAAGUCUGCAAUCUUGGUUUUCGUGUUCCAUUUUUCAGCAAACAAAAUGGGGUCGUACUUUAGAGAUAUCCUCUUAGGGACUUUGGCCAAACGAGUCGCGGUUAAAAGGAAAGAUACUACACAAGGAGGUGAUGAUACAUUGCGAACAAACAUUUCCAACGCCAUAAGAUGUGGGCGUGGCAUGGCGCCAAACUUUGCUCCGAUGGUUUUUGGCCAUUUUUCGGGGAAAAACAGGGGUCGUACUUUACCAAAGUCCUCCUAGGGACUUUGGUAAACUGAGUCACGGUUAAAAUGACAGAUACUACACAUGGGGGUGAUGAUAAAUUGCAAACCAAAUUUUCCUACGCCCUAAGAUGUGGGCGUGGCAUGGCGCCAAACUUCUCUCUGAUGGUUUUUGGCCAUUUUUCAGGGAAAAAAAGGAUCGUACUUUAACAAAGUCCUCCUAGGGACUUUGGCCAAAUGUGUCGCGGUUAAAAUGACAGAUACUACACAUAUAGGUGAUGAUAAAUUGUGAACAACAUUUUCCUAUGCUCUAAGAUGUGGGCGUGGCAUGGCGCCAAACUUUGCUCCAAUGCUUUUUGGCCAUUUUUCGGGGAAAAAAAGGGGUCAUACUUUAACAAACUUCUCCUAGGAACUUUAGCCAAAUGAGUCGCGGGUAAAAUUACAGAUACUACACAUAUAGGCGAUGAUAAAUUGCGAACAACAUUUUCCUACGCUCUAAGAUGUGGGCGUGGCAUGGUGCCAAACUUUGCUCCAAUGGUUUUUGGCCAUUUUUUGGGGAAAAAAAGGGGUCAUACUUUAACAAACUUCUCCUAGGAACUUUAGCCAAAUGAGUCACGGUUAAAAUGACAGAUACUACACAUAUAGGCGAUGAUAAAUUGCGAACAAAAAAUUCCGACACCAUAAGAUGUGGGCGUGGCAUGGUGCUUAACUUUGCUCCAAUGGUUUUUGGCUAUUUUUCGGGGAAAAAAAGGGGUUAUACUUUAAUAAACUUCUCCUACGAACUUUAGCCAAAUGAGUCGCGGUUAAAAUGACACAUACCACACAUGGGGGUGAUUAUAAAUUGCGAACAACAUUUUCAUACGCUCUAAGAUGUGGGCGUGGCAUGGCGCCAAACUUUGCUCCAAUGGUUUUUGGCCAUUUUUGGGGGAAAAAAAGGGGUCAUACUUUAACACACUUCUCCUAGGAACUUUAGCCAAAUGAGUCACGGUUAAAAUGACAGAUACUACACAUAUAGGCGAUGAUAAAUUGCGAACAAAAAAUUCCUACGCCAUAAGAUGUGGUCGUGGCAUGGCGCCGAACUUUGCUCCGAUGGUUUUUGGCCAUUUUUCGGGGAAAAAAAGGGGUCAUACUUUAACAAACUUCUCCUAGGAACUUUAGCCAAAUGAGUCGCGGUUAAAAUUACAGAUACUACACAUGGGGGUGAUGAUAAAUUGCGAACAACAUUUUCCUACGCUCUAAGAUGUGGGCGUGGCAUGGCGCCAAACUUUGCUCCAAUGGUUUUUGGCCAUUUUUCGGGGAAAAAAAGGGGUCAUACUUUAACACACUUCUCCUAGGAAUUUUAGCCAAAUGAGUCACGGUUAAAUUGACAGAUACUACACAUAUAGGCGAUGAUAAAUUGCGAACAAAAAAUUCCUACGCCAUAAGAUGUGGUCGUGGCAUGGCGCCAAACUUUGCUCCGAUGGUUUUUGGCCAUUUUUCGGGGAAAAAAAGGGGUCAUACUUUAACAAACUUCUCCUAGGAACUUUAGCCAAAUGAGUCACGGUUAAAAUGACAGAUACUACACAUAUAGGCGAUGAUAAAUUGCGAACAAAAUUUUCCUACGCUCUAAGAUGUGGGCGUGGCAUGGCGCCAAACUUUGCUCCAAUGGUUUUUGGCCAUUUUUUGGGGAAAAAAAGGGGUCAUACUUUAACAAACUUCUCCUAGGAACUUUAGCCAAAUGAGUCGCGGGUAAAAUUACAGAUACUACACAUAUAGGCGAUAAUAAAUUGCAAACAACAUUUUCCUACGCUCUAAGAUGUGGCCGUGGCAUGGCGCCAAACUUUGCUCCAAUGGUUUUUGGCCAUUUUUCGGGGAAAAAAAGGGUUCAUACUUUCUUUCUUUCUUUCUUUUAGUUUAUUUCGAACAUGAACACAUUUACAUCAUAAUACAUCACACAAUUUCAUAUCAUUUCAUUUACAUCAUGCCCGAAAAGGAGUAGGAAGAAGCAAAGCUUAUUUAAUCCUACACCUUUCCCACUUCAAAGCAUUUACAAUUAUAUAAAAUCAUUUACUGACCUUUUUAUAUAAUAAAAUAACAUCUAUGAAUUAGUAUAUACAACAGUUUGUAAUAUGUAAUUAAUUAAUUCAGUCAUUAUUAACAUACUGAGAUGAAGAAUAUUUUCAAUAAGGUUGGAAGUUUUUCUCAUAAUUCUUCUUCUUUGUACUUUGUAAGCACUAUUAAUUUAAACAACCUCUUAAACUGGAUCAUGUCAGUACAAUUUUUAACUUCUUUACUUAAUCCAUUCCAUAAUUUAAUUCCACAUACUGUUAUGCUAAAAGUUUUAAGUGUUGU